GGUUAAAUGGCUGAAUCUUUAGGUAAUAAAUUGUAAAUUUAUUUAUGAGAUUAAAAAUCUCUUUAACCA
RNAcentral lists this transfer RNA (69 nucleotides) under Chelipoda sp. YD3012. Its description in RNAcentral is "tRNA-Tyr". It matches the Rfam family "tRNA". Rfam says of the family: Transfer RNA (tRNA) molecules are approximately 80 nucleotides in length. Their secondary structure includes four short double-helical elements and three loops (D, anti-codon, and T loops). Lineage: Eukaryota; Metazoa; Arthropoda; Insecta; Diptera; Empididae. The record is from RNAcentral.